This 136-nucleotide ribosomal RNA is filed under the name uncultured bacterium. RNAcentral's name for it is "partial 16S ribosomal RNA". It matches the Rfam family "Bacterial small subunit ribosomal RNA", at positions 355 to 507 of the family's 1533-position model. The record is from RNAcentral.
UGAGGAAUAUUGCACAAUGGGCGCAAGCCUGAUGCAGCGACGCCGCGUGGGUGAAGAAGGUCUUCGGAUCGUAAAGCCCUUUUCCGCGUGACGAGACAGGACGGUAGCGCAGGAAUAAGUCUCGGCUAACUACGUG